GAGUWAAGAUGCUCGUUAAGCGCAGAAGGACGAAAAGACCCCGGGACCUUUACUAUACCUUGGUAUUGUCGUUAGGUGUGGAUCGUGUAGCAUAGGCGGGAGGCUGUGAAGCGUGGGCGCUAGCUUGCGUGGAGUCGAUCAGUGAAAUACCGCUCUUUCCAUAUCUGGCGUCUAACCUCGACACGUUAUCCGUGUUAGGGACAGUGCCUGGCGGGUAGUUUAACUGGGGCGGUUGCCUCCUAAAGAGUAACGGAGGCGCUCAAUGGUCCGCUCAGCCCGGUUGGCAAUCGGGUGUUGAGUGUAAUCGCACAAGCGGGCUUGACUGUGAGACUGACGGGUCGAGCAGGGACGAAAGUCGGAGAUAGUGAUCCGGUGCCGGCGUACGGACGUGGCAUCGCUCAACGGAUAAAAGGUACCCCGGGGAUAACAGGCUGAUCAUUCCCAAGAGUCCAUAUCGACGGGAUGGUUUGGCACCUCGAUGUCGGCUCGUCGCAUCCUGGGGCUGGAGCAGGUCCCAAGGGUUCGGCUGUUCGCCGAUUAAAGCGGCACGCGAGCUGGGUUCAGAACGUCGUGAGACAGUUUGGUCUCUAUCCUCUGCGCUCGUUGGAAUGUUGAGGAGACCUGCCCAUAGUACGAGAGGACCUGGGUGGACGAACCUCUGGUAUGCCGGUCGUCACGCCAGUGGCGCUGCCGGUUAGCUACGUUUGGAAGGGAUAACCGCUGAAAGCAUCUAAGCGGGAAGCCUGCUCCAAGAUUAGCAUUCCUUGCACUUUGUGUGUGAGCCCCCAUGUAGAACACGUGGUUGAUAGGCUGGAUGUGGAAGCCCUGUAAGGGGUGGAGCUGACCAGUACUAAUGGGCGAUUGUGAUACUACU
This 874-nucleotide ribosomal RNA is filed under the name Gardnerella vaginalis. RNAcentral's name for it is "partial 23S ribosomal RNA". Lineage: Bacteria; Bacillati; Actinomycetota; Actinomycetes; Bifidobacteriales; Bifidobacteriaceae. The record is from RNAcentral.